Molecule: long non-coding RNA, 1182 nt
Filed under: Phoenix dactylifera (date palm)
Lineage: Eukaryota; Viridiplantae; Streptophyta; Magnoliopsida; Arecales; Arecaceae
Description: long non-coding RNA (PDAC_LNC009000)
Source: RNAcentral
AGAAUGGCUGAGAUCUGUUCGUGAACGGGAGGAAUCUGGAACAAGAAGAAGGCUGGAUUCGGCUGGGAGUUUGUGUUUAUCCCGUGGAUCAUGCAGAUCUAUGCCAAAACAGGGAGCUUGGAUGCAUUCUAUUCCGCUAGGAGAAUAUUGCGGAAGGAUGGAGUUGAUCCGGAAGCUUUGGAGAUGAAGACACGGGAGGAAUGAGCUGGUAAUGGCUGGGAGAAGAUGAGGAUGCUGGGAUGCGAUCCACAGAAUGGGGAGAGGAUGAACGCUGGGGAGAGGAUUCUGUUUCCGUGGCUGGGAUCAAUCUGAACGCUGGGACUUGGCUGGCUUGGUUCUGUUCAUGGGAGACCUGAGAGGAUAGGCGUGGGAAGGAUGAGGAUGAACGCGGAGACGUGAGAGCUAGGGAGGGAUUUGCGGACGGAGUUGGACCCUAGUCGCGGGAGAGGAUGGAAUGCGAGCUUAUAUGAUGAUGCGGACGGCUGGGAAUGGGCUCUGUUUUGAGGCUGGGGUGGAUUAUGUGGAAGCUUGAUCUCUAAACACUUAAAGGAUGAUGUCGACAUGGGUACUGCUGCAAAUGCGAAAGAAACUCGCGUUGAGCUGAAUCGUGGAAGAAAAAUGAUACAUGAUCUACACGUUGGACAGCAAAGAUGGAUGCUUGAUCCUUAGAUGCAGAAGGUGCGUGUGGUUUGGGUUCAAGAAUUAUCCCAACUGAGUUCGGCCCGACCUGCAUACAUUAGACUCGACCAAAAUAAUUAAAUCAAACUCGAAUUACUUCUAAUAAUUUAUUAAAAUACAAUGAUGAAGGAAAACACAUUUUCUUAUGUUUAGAUUAAAAUAUGUGCAUAAAAAUAAUAACAAGUGCUAUGUAAAAUAGAUAAAUUUAUUUAUUAUUUAGCACUUAUCACACCCUCCAACCUACAUUUUGCUAGUUCUCGAGCAAAAUAAAAACUAACUCACUUUCGCAGGAAUCGCGAUUGCAUUUACCGUAUGCAAUAAGGCUUUAAACUCCUAAGUGGCUCUAGUGGACGAGUUUGGUCUCGUGAGGGUUUCCGGUAUAGAUACCCACAAACUGCUGUCUUUACCCAAAGAAUUUAUUUUAUUGUUUCAUAAAAUCUAAUUUCAAAUGUAUAAAUGCCAAGAAUUUUAAAAGUACAUAAAGUUUUAAUUACUAAGUCAGCU